This 253-nucleotide ribosomal RNA is filed under the name uncultured bacterium. RNAcentral describes it as "partial 16S ribosomal RNA". It matches the Rfam family "Bacterial small subunit ribosomal RNA", at positions 524 to 776 of the family's 1533-position model. The record is from RNAcentral.
UACGUAGGGGGCAAGCGUUGUCCGGAUUUAUUGGGCGUAAAGAGCGUGUAGGCGGCCAGAUAGGUCAGCUGUGAAAACUCGAGGCUCAACCUCGAGACGUCGGUUGAAACCAUCUGGCUAGAGUCCGGAAGAGGAGAGUGGAAUCCCCGGUGUAGCGGUGAAAUGCGCAGAUAUCGGGAAGAACACCCGUGGCGAAGGCGGCUCUCUGGGACGGUACUGACGCUGAGACGCGAAAGCGUGGGGAGCGAACAGG